RNAcentral lists this ribosomal RNA (654 nucleotides) under Vibrio sp. UST991130-046. Its description in RNAcentral is "bacterial SSU rRNA". It matches the Rfam family "Bacterial small subunit ribosomal RNA", at positions 344 to 990 of the family's 1533-position model. Lineage: Bacteria; Pseudomonadati; Pseudomonadota; Gammaproteobacteria; Vibrionales; Vibrionaceae. The record is from RNAcentral.
GGAGGCAGCAGUGGGGAAUAUUGCCCAAUGGGCGGAAGCCUGUUNCAGCUAUGCCGGGUGGUGAAGAUGGCCUUCGGGUUGUAAAGUACUUUCAGUCGUGAGGAAGGCAUUAACGUUAAUAGCGUUAGUGUUUGACGUUAGCGACAGAAGAAGCACCGGCUAACUCCGUGCCAGCAGCCGCGGUAAUACGGAGGGUGCUGAGCGUUAAUCGGAAUUACUGGGCGUAAAGCGCAUGCAGGUGGUUUGUUAAGUCAGAUGUGAAAGCCCGGGGCUCAACCUCGGAACCGCAUUUGAAACUGGCAGGCUAGAGUACUGUAGAGGGGGGUAGAAUUUCAGGUGUAGCGGUGAAAUGCGUAGAGAUCUGAAGGAAUACCGGUGGCGAAGGCGGCCCCCUGGACAGAUACUGACACUCAGAUGCGAAAGCGUGGGGAGCAAACAGGAUUAGAUACCCUGGUAGUCCACGCCGUAAACGAUGUCUACUUGGAGGUUGUGGCCUUGAGCCGUGGCUUUCGGAGCUAACGCGUUAAGUAGACCGCCUGGGGAGUACGGUCGCAAGAUUAAAACUCAAAUGAAUUGACGGGGGCCCGCACAAGCGGUGGAGCAUGUGGUUUAAUUCGAUGCAACGCGAAGAACCUUACCUACUCUUGACAAGGA